This 449-nucleotide long non-coding RNA is filed under the name Nicotiana benthamiana. Its description in RNAcentral is "long non-coding RNA (NBEN_LNC002379)". The record is from RNAcentral. Lineage: Eukaryota; Viridiplantae; Streptophyta; Magnoliopsida; Solanales; Solanaceae.
UGCUUUACUGUGUGGAAUCAAUGGCGAAGGGACUUAUAGUAGGAAGCUGUACGGAGGUAAUGGGCGCAUAACUUACUCAGAUGGAGGUAUUGAUAGUUUCCCUAAAAUAAAUUCCACUAUAUUGCAAACUGAUCAUAUCACUUUUGUAAUCAACAUCCAUUUGGUUUUGGUCCUGCAGUUCAUCCAGAUAAUAUGCCUCCAUUCCACUAUCUAUGUGAUUACCGUCCUGCGGUGGAUAGAGAUAACGUACUUCCAAUUGGCAACAAUUAUCAUCCUGAACUUUGGCAACAAUGUGGUCUUCCAUUAUAAUACCAGAAUUAUGAUAUAGUUAUUAGUAUGAUAGAACCUGCUGAACAACAAGCAUUCCACCUUGUUUUCCUUCUUAAAAGUUUUAAAAGAAAAUACAAUGAAACUCUCACGUUCCAACUUUGAAUUUGUUCUAAUUUUAU